RNAcentral lists this ribosomal RNA (405 nucleotides) under uncultured bacterium. RNAcentral describes it as "bacterial SSU rRNA". It matches the Rfam family "Bacterial small subunit ribosomal RNA", at positions 108 to 507 of the family's 1533-position model. The record is from RNAcentral.
GAGGAAUACAUGGGUAAUCUACCAUCGAGUGGGGAAUAACCAGCCGAAAGGUUGGCUAAUACCGCGUACGCUUCCGAGUCUUCGGGCUUGGAAGGAAAGCCGCACUGUGAGUGCGGCGCUCUUUGAUGAGCUCAUGUCCUAUCAGCUUGUUGGUAGGGUAACGGCUACCAAGGCUUUGACGGGUAGCUGGUCUGAGAGGACGAUCAGCCACACUGGCACUGCGACACGGGCCAGACUCCUACGGGAGGCAGCAGUAAGGAAUAUUGCGCAAUGGGCGAAAGCCUGACGCAGCGACGCCGCGUGGGGGAUGAAAGGUCUUCGGAUUGUAAACCCCUUUCGGGAGGGAAGAUGGAGCGAGCAAUCGUUCGGACGGUACCUCCAGAAGCAGCCACGGCCAACUUCGUG